This 253-nucleotide ribosomal RNA is filed under the name uncultured bacterium. Its description in RNAcentral is "partial 16S ribosomal RNA". It matches the Rfam family "Bacterial small subunit ribosomal RNA", at positions 524 to 776 of the family's 1533-position model. The record is from RNAcentral.
UACGUAGGGUGCAAGCGUUGUCCGGAAUUAUUGGGCGUAAAGAGCUCGUAGGCGGUUUGUUGCGUCGGCUGUGAAAUCCCGAGGCUCAACCUCGGGUCUGCAGUCGAUACGAGCAAACUAGAGUGUUGCAGGGGAGACUGGAAUUCCUGGUGUAGCGGUGAAAUGCGCAGAUAUCAGGAGGAACACCGGUGGCGAAGGCGGGUCUCUGGGCCGAUACUGACACUGAGGAGCGAAAGCGUGGGGAGCGAACAGG